This 468-nucleotide ribosomal RNA is filed under the name uncultured bacterium. RNAcentral describes it as "partial 16S ribosomal RNA". It matches the Rfam family "Bacterial small subunit ribosomal RNA", at positions 28 to 507 of the family's 1533-position model. The record is from RNAcentral.
GACGAACGCUGGCGGCGUGCUUAACACAUGCAAGUCGAACGGAAAGGCCCUGCUUUUGUGGGGUGCUCGAGUGGCGAACGGGUGAGUAACACGUGAGUAACCUGCCCUUGACUUUGGGAUAACUUCAGGAAACUGGGGCUAAUACCGGAUAGGAGCUCCUGCUGCAUGGUGGGGGUUGGAAAGUUUCGGCGGUUGGGGAUGGAUUCGCGGCUUAUCAGCUUGUUGGGGGGGUAGUGGCUUACCAAGGGUUUGACGGGUAGCCGGCAUGAGAGGGGGGCCGGGCACAUGGGGCCUGGGGUACGGCGCAGUCGCCAACGGGAGGCAACGGGGGGGAAUAUGGCGGAGUGGGGGGAAGCCUGUGGCGGAAGUCCCGGGAUCGGAAUACCGUCUUACGGGUGAAAAACCGCUUUGGCCGUUACUGAGCAGUGCUUGACGGUACUGGAUAAAAAAGCCCCGGCUAACUACGUG